UGGGGAAUAUUGCACAAUGGCGGGAACUCUGAUGCAGCGACGCCGCGUGAGUGAUGAAGGACUUCGUUUCGUAAAACUCUGUUCUAUGGGAAGAAAAGGACUGUACCAUAGGAGAAAGCUCCGGCUAAAUACGUGCCAGCAGCCGCGGUAAUACGUAUGGAGCGAGCGUUGUCCGGAAUUAUUGGGCGUAAAGGGUGCGCAGGCGGCUUUACAAGUUGGAUGUGAAAUAUUGUGGCUCAACCACAAACGUGCAUCCAAAACUGCAAAGCUUGAGUUAAGGAGAGGUAAGUGGAAUUCCUGGUGUAGCGGUGGAAUGCGUAGAUAUCAGGAGGAAUACCGGUGGCGAAGGCGACUUACUGGACUUAAACUGACGCUCAGGCACGAAAGCGUGGGGAGCAAACAGG
Molecule: ribosomal RNA, 404 nt
Filed under: Fusobacteriota bacterium
Lineage: Bacteria; Fusobacteriati; Fusobacteriota
Description: Fusobacteria bacterium partial 16S ribosomal RNA
Rfam family: Bacterial small subunit ribosomal RNA
Source: RNAcentral